UGCAGAAUCCCGUGAACCAUCGAAUUUUUGAACGCAAGUUGCGCCCGAAGCCUUUUGGCUAAGGGCACGUCUGCUUGGGCGUCACAU
This 87-nucleotide ribosomal RNA is filed under the name Packera aurea. Its description in RNAcentral is "partial 5.8S ribosomal RNA". It matches the Rfam family "5.8S ribosomal RNA", at positions 73 to 154 of the family's 154-position model. Rfam says of the family: 5.8S ribosomal RNA (5.8S rRNA) is a component of the large subunit of the eukaryotic ribosome. It is transcribed by RNA polymerase I as part of the 45S precursor that also contains 18S and 28S rRNA. Functionally, it is thought that 5.8S rRNA may be involved in ribosome translocation. Lineage: Eukaryota; Viridiplantae; Streptophyta; Magnoliopsida; Asterales; Asteraceae. The record is from RNAcentral.